CGUGGCUUGGGUGAAAACAUUUCAUCCCGGGUGCAUUAAUGCGAGCUAGCGUUUGUUGGCUAACAGAAUGAGAGAACAUGAGUUACCAAGGUAAGCUACCAACGUGAAUCCAACGCUCCAUUACAGACGGAGGAGAGCAGCUACUCCAGCAAAGUGAUCGUGGUGGGGGACUCGGCUGUGGGGAAGACAACUCUACUCUUGCGCUACACACACGAUCGGGUAGCUUUUGACAGCACUUUCAAAACAACCCUUUCAGCAGACUUCAGCACAAAGACAGUUGACGUGUCGGGGGUAAAGGUCAAGCUACAGCUCUGGGAUACGCACGGGCAGGAACGUUUCCAAGCGUUGUCAAAGAUUCAUUACAGAAAUGCUGUCGGUAUUGUUAUGGUUUUUGACCUGAGCCAAAAGUCCAGCUUCAACCACAUCCAACAUUGGCGGCAACAGGUCCACGAACAUUGGCGGCAACAGGUCCACGAACAUGCCGGAGAAAAUGUUGACAUUGUACUGGUCGGCAACAGGUCCACGAACAUGCCGGAGAAGACGUUGACCUAAUACUGGUCGGCAACAAGGUCGACCUGGCCAAGAGCCGAGCCAUAGACCACGAGACGGCGAACUCCCUGGCCCAGACCAUCGGGGCCAUGUAUGUUGAGUGUAGCGCUAAGACAGGCGCCAACGUUGACCGGGUGUUCACCUCGCUGGCCGGCAAGUUGGCCAAUCGGGUGCCGGUACAACCGGAAGAGCCGGUACGUAUAGGAUCAGAACCAUUUUACCAGGUGCCUUGCUUUGGAAAAAAUACAUGUUCCUCUUUCUAAGCCACAAAGAUAGCGCAAACAAAAGAGUUGAAUUAAAAUUGCAUUUGGAUAAAAACUGGUACAUUCAUAUUUUAGCAAAGAUAAGUAGAAGACUUAUACUAGUCAAAUAA
Molecule: RNA transcript, 922 nt
Organism: Physella acuta
Lineage: Eukaryota; Metazoa; Mollusca; Gastropoda; Physidae
Source: RefSeq, a predicted model, not a curated record